AUGGCCGUUGGUUGGGACUGGGAUUCUGCGGCAUUCAUAGCCAUAGUUGGCUGGUUAGUCUCACCCAUCAUCACUUUGCUCUUGCCCAACAUCCUCUCCUGCGGGUUCGACGCGUCGCGGAAGCUCUGGGAGCUGGAGAUCCACGUUAUCCCGGAGCUGAACAAGACGCUGCUUGCCGUGGAUCAAAAGAGGAUGCUGCAUAGGGGAGGAAUAUCCGAUGUGGCCACGCUCGACAAGAUGGCCGCCGUGCUGAGGCACGCCCGGGAGGAGGCCGAAGACAUCUUCGACGAUGCUCAGCACAAGAUCGUCGGCGGCGACAGCAUCUUGCAGACCUGCAACACGAGAAUUGAGCGCAUCGCCCGGAGCGGAUCGGCUCAGCUACUGCAGUGGGCGCGGAAUAUCUUCUUGCGUAGGUCAGAAGAUGCGCUUCCAGUGAUUUCCACUGCUGUUGCGCCCUCUGGCGAGCCCGUCCCGGUGACUGCACCCUCUGAUUCCUCGGGAUGGUGGUCCUCUUGCUGGUGCAGCUCCUUCUACUUGCUCAAGUUCUGUUGUACAUCACUAUACAACUCAGUAGUUGAUGUGUUCAAGGUUGCCUGCUUAUACAGAGAUUGGUCCUAUGACGUGGUUGGCAUCACAAGUUAUCAGGAGAAUGCAAGUGCAUCACAUUCUCUGGGUGCGGCUAUCUCGAGAUGGAACUUGAAGAGAAGAAUAGAGGAGUUAGAAAGAGUCGUCAAUGAAGUGAAGAAGUCAGAACUCUUGUGUGUACCAAGGGAUAUUGCACCUGAUGAUAUUGCCAACAAGAACAGGUGCCGAAUUAGAACUGCUAGCAAGCGGAAGGUAUUUGGUCGAGAGGAGUUGCGUGACGAUAUCAUGACAAGGUUCCAUGAGACACCGCACGGUGAUGCACCAAGCUCGAGUACUAGUCCAUGUUACUCUGUGAUUGGCAUAUAUGGUGUUGCAGGUUCUGGGAAGACUACCUUUGCACAAUAUAUUCGAGAUUACAUAAAGGAGGAAUGCAAGCAGAAACUUUUUGACACCAUCAUGUGUAUUCAUGUGUCUGAGACUUUCAGUGUGGAUGAUAUAUUUCAUGAAAUGUUGAAGGAUAUUACCAGUAAUCGACACUCCAAUAUUUCAGAUCAUGAGGAGUUGGAGGAGAAGUUGAAGGAGUCAUUGUGCGGCAAACGUUUCUUCCUGAUACUGGAUGAUCUCUGGGUGAAGAGCAAGAAUGACAUACGGCUGGAGGAACUAAUUUCUCCACUUAAUGCUGGGAUCAAAGGAAGCACCAUCCUCGUGACGGCUCGAACCAAAGAUGCAGCUGGAGUUUUGUGUGCUGACGAACCUAUUAAACUGCCAGAUUUGGAUGAGGAUCAAUACUUGACGAUGUUUAUGCAUUAUGCAUUGGGCGGAACAAGUGUUGGUGCUGAUGAAUUUGUACGGGUUGGGAGAUUGAUAGCAAACAAGCUACAUAGAUCACCUAUUGCAGCGGUAGUAGUGGCAGGACGGCUUGGGACAAACCCAAAUAUCAAAUUUGGGAAAAAUAUUGAAAAGCUUGACAUGUUGAAUGAUACCAUGCAUGCUCUUUGGUGGAGCUAUCAGCAGCUUAAUCCGGACAUUAGGCGGUGCUUAGAAUACUACAAUAUUUUCCCCAAAAGAUUCAAGUUGACAAGAGUCGAGUUAGUCCGCCUUUGGAUAGCCCAAGGGUUUGUAAAGAACAGUUGUGCAACGGAGGACACGGAAGAUGUAGCUGAGGGCUACAUUCAAGAGUUAGUGGCAUGCUCAUUUCUUCAACCAGAAGGAGAUUACUUUACAAUUCAUGAUCUUAUGCAUGAUUUAGCAAAAAAGGUCUCCGGAAGUGAUUACUUUAGGAUCGAGAAUAAAUGGAUCGAAAGUGGCGAAGGGUGGAAAGGAGAUGUUCCUCGAGAUGUUCGUCAUCUUUUUGUUCAAAAUUAUGAUUCAGAAUGGAUUACGGAGAAGAUCCUUAGAUUGGAAAAGUUACGCACCAUUUACGUUGUUGAAAGGGGUACACUAUUAGAGGAUAAAGUCAUUGAGAGUAUAUGCAAGAGGCUGCCGAAAUUGCGCGUACUGUCCAUUGAUUGGAGUAAUCAAUAUUGUGCACUUGAAAACCCCAGAAAGUUCUUGAUCCCAGAAUCUAUUAGUCAGUUAAAGCACCUACGCUAUCUUGCUUUCAGGACAGAACUUUCUUGCACGAUAAAUUUACCAAGCGCACUAAGUAAACUUCACCAUAUCCAGUUGCUGGAUUUUGGUUAUGGUGAAAUUUUGGAAUUUUCCUUUGCUGACCUUGUCAACCUACAACACAUGAUCUGCCAUAGUGACUUUCCUAACAUAGGCAGGAUGACCUCACUCCAAACGUUGCCAUGCUUCAUUGUAAAGAAUGAACAAGGGUAUGAAGUAAAGCAGUUGAGGAAUCUAAACAAGCUUCGUGGCGACCUAUGCAUUCUUGGCCUUAACAUUGUUAAAAGCAAGGAGGAAGCUCUUGAAGCCAAUCUAGCUGCCAAGGAACGGCUCACAUGUGUGUCACUAUGGUGGUAUCCUGGUGAUACAAGGUGCAAUUCAGAAAUCCAAGCAGAGGUAAUCGAGGGCUUGUGCCCUCCCGUGGGGCUUGAAACACUGCACAUCUUUUACUACCAAGGUACGAGGUACCCAGAUUGGAUGGUAGGUAAGCACAACGGUGGUCCAAAGGACCUGCAAGAACUUUGGUUAAAUGGAUGGAGUCAACUAGGCUCUGGCCCUGAACUCGAGGCUGUCCCACAUCUUCGUGUGCUCCGCUUUUCGGCCUGCAGCUGGAAAUUUUUACCAAACAAUAUGGAGCACCUCACAUCGCUCAAGGAAUUGUCCAUCACUGACUGCAAAAAUAUCAGGUCGCUUCCAACAUUGCCCCAAUCUCUUAAGAUGUUUCGUCUUGAGGGUUGCAAUGAUGAGUUUAUGAAGUCUUGUGAAACAGUCGGACAUCCAAACUGGCAAAAGAUCAGGCACAUCUCCGAGAAAACAUUUAGAUAG
Molecule: ribosomal RNA, 3018 nt
Filed under: Triticum aestivum (bread wheat)
Lineage: Eukaryota; Viridiplantae; Streptophyta; Magnoliopsida; Poales; Poaceae
Description: partial small subunit ribosomal RNA
Source: RNAcentral